Molecule: long non-coding RNA, 450 nt
Filed under: Sus scrofa (pig)
Lineage: Eukaryota; Metazoa; Chordata; Mammalia; Artiodactyla; Suidae
Description: lncRNA (ENSSSCG00030013756.1, ENSSSCG00035018457.1)
Source: RNAcentral
CUUCCUCUUUGUUGACUACAUGGUACCCCCCAGCCUCCUAAGAAGUGGAAAAACAAGGAAUAAUCCUCCUCAAGUCAGGUGGAGUGUGAAGAAACCUGAUCAUUCUAAGCAUUCACCAACAUCAUCAUACAAAUGGAAGAAUCAAUCAUUGGAGGUUACAGAGCUUUAAAUACAUUGCCUUGUAGUCUCCUCAUUUUAUGGAUGACGAAAUGGAAGUGUGAGAAAAGGGACUAUGUGUUUGCAAGUUCUUCUAGGGAUUCAGAAAACAUCUUCUCUAGAAAUGUAUCCUUUGGACUCAUGAACCCAUAGGCUCACCAGAUGCUGUCAAGAGUCUGUAAAACCAAACUUUUGACUUUGAGUACAUCUUUUUCUCUCUUGAAAAAAAUACAUGUAAACUUCUAAAUAGAUAAUGAAAAUAAAACUUUUGUUUUCCAUGAAUGUUAUGUACCU